AAUAACCUCAGCCAUGAGUUUCCGUAUUCAAUUUUAACCAUCCGUCUUAUUUAAAACUUAUUAUUAUUAUUAUUAGAUUAUAAAGCAUGAAUAGUACUUUAUAUGUACUAAUGUUUUUUAGAUUUUUGAAAAAAUUUUAAAUAAGACGGACGACUAAAGUUGGAUAUGGAAGCUCAUGGCUGGACAUUUA
Molecule: microRNA precursor, 190 nt
Organism: Oryza rufipogon (brownbeard rice)
Lineage: Eukaryota; Viridiplantae; Streptophyta; Magnoliopsida; Poales; Poaceae
Rfam family: MIR812 microRNA precursor family
Source: Rfam